This 2894-nucleotide long non-coding RNA is filed under the name Sus scrofa (pig). RNAcentral describes it as "lncRNA (ENSSSCG00055003981.1)". The record is from RNAcentral. Lineage: Eukaryota; Metazoa; Chordata; Mammalia; Artiodactyla; Suidae.
UCGCUAAACCCCAUCCUUAUCUCUCAACUGCUAUGAAUACACGUUCUUUUCCUCUCAUUCUUAGACUACUUUAAGACCUGGAACAGGAGCUGUCAAUGCGCAAGGAGUCCCUUAUCUCUUUCAUAAGAUUUAUGAAAGGUUUGUACAUUUUGCCAGGGAAACUGAGCUGCACGUGAGUUGUGCCUGGCUCCCCAGAACCUGCAGCAAUGUGCUCCUUUGUCGUUAAAAGUCCCGACUUGACCCCACCCCCACCCCAGCCCCCACCCCCAUGGCUUCCAUCCAGUUUCCAGAGCUGGAAAUCAGACACGAGACAUAUCAGGCAGUGAGUGGAACAAACAAGUUGAAGGAGAAUCCACAGCUGCAAAUAUUGCACCAACAGCUAAGAAGGCACCUGGAGUUCCCGCAGGCACCUGGUGGCCCCCUCUGCUCAACCAGUGCUCCCGCCAAAGCUGAAACAGAUUGCCUCCACAAAGUCUUCUCAGCUUCUUGCUUUCCCUUAAAGCUGCCGCUUCCUAAUCCUUUGAUCCCUGUCCCACUGAAGUCUUUGAGAGUGGAACAGAAAGGACAGAGUUGAGAUUUUGGUGUGACAGUAGACGAAAAUCAAUUUUGGCUUCCCAAACAUAGGAGUGGUGCAAAAGAUCACCAGUCACAAAUAGAUGUUCUUUAUCGUUGUCCUGAGUGGCUGGAAAUGCCCAGGAGGCGUGAUGCACUACAGACAAUAGGAGGCACCUUUUUUCUUAAAGAAUAAAAGAAAUUAAGUCUGACUUUGAGACCACAUCCUGAAUGUCAGUGCCCUAUCCAGCCUAAGGAUUCCUUGUGUUUUUCCUUGAUGUGACAGAUUUUAAGCACACUGGCAUUCUAUCAGAGGAUUUACACAUUGAUUAGCAGUUAAAAGCAUUUGUCGGUAAGUUUAGUUGGAGGACUGUUUCCUACUCUAGGAAAACCAGGCCUUCCCUGUAAUUGGCAGUCCUAUUAUAAGUGGAUAUUCUGUUAAGCUUCUAAGAACUUCUAAAAACUUAUUAAGUAAUUGAAUAAAGCAGAGUGUGUUUAGUCUUACAGUUGCACCAUAUUUCAGAAUAUCAUAUAACCUAUGAGUCAGUUCAGAUGUUAUAUGUAAGUGAUAAAACAUGGGAUAAAAAGCAAACUGAAAUAAAAAAUGGCAUGAAUUACCAUACCACCCACUAAUGCAUUCCAUAGCGAUUUAGUCAUCUUCUCUCCUAAUUGUACUCUUAAAGAUUUGACUACAACUAUUUUUAUCCUCAGAAUAAAGCUAUUAUACCCCAAAAGGUAUAAAGAAAUUACGAUAGACUUUUCAUAAUUUAUAACAAACAUGGUUGUUUUGAAUGGGCUUAAUUAUUAUCUCAAUUCAGUUCAAUGCGAUGGUGAUUUAUUGCCUUUUGAGAGCUGUUUGUGAAGGUCUCAUUAGGAAGAGUUACUAAACGAUACAGUAGAACACAUAUAAAGGAAUAUUUAAUGUCCUCAGUAAUAGAAACACUGCUUCUUACGCUCUAUUUGCAUGCCAAAAAUUCUAAGCUGCAAACACACCCCACUAUAAUAAUAGAAUUUAAAAAUUAGUCUAUAUUUUUUUGGCUAUUGCAUAGAGAGAAAAGAAGUGCAGCUUUUCUUAAAUGAGAGAAAUAUGUGCUGUUUAGGUAAGUAGGGUUUAAAUCUAUGUGGAGAUUUGGAUGUAUUAGGGAGGCAUAAUAGAUCACUUGCUGGAAAUAAGAGAUACAAUUCUAGUUUCUCGACCCCUAGUGUUUCUUAAAUAUAUGCUUAUUCUGUGAACACCAAGAAAGUGAAAUAAAUUUAACUGUAGCAUAACCAGCAGAUUUCAUUGGCUCGGCAUCUGAUCUGUGGUUUGUUUGUUUUUGUGUUUUAGGAUGCCACCCUCAGCACAUGGACGUUCCCAGUCUAGGGGUCGAAUUGGUGCUGCAGCUGCCUGCCGACACCACAGCCACAGCAAUGCCAGAUCCAAGCCUCGCCUUUGACCUACACCACAGAUCAUGGCAGUGGUGGAUCCUUAACCCACAGAGUGAGGCUACGGAACGAAUCCGCAUCUUCAUGGAUACUAGUCAGAUUUGUUUCCGCUGAGCCACGACGGGAACUCCCUGUAGUUUAGUCAUAUCCUUUGAAAAUUUGAAAAAUUGAAUGGAAAUCAAUAUAAGAUAUGAUGAUUUAAUUACGUCCCCUUCUUGAUGAGAGACACAUAGUUACUACUUGUUUCUGGAUGUCCAUAAUUAACCUUCAUUUCAGGAGCUUAAAUUCCAUUUAUCAUAUUUAUUUGUAGAAACACCUCUCAUGAACUCUGGGUAAUCCUCUCUGCAUUUCUGGAAGGUGUACCCGAAAUCCUGUAAACAAAGCACUUAAUUUUGGGCAGUGAUUAUAUUGUUAACGUACUGACAAUAAUAGUGACUACAAAUAAAAGACAGUCUUUCUUACACUUAAAUUUAUCUGUAGAGUAGAGCUUGGAGGGUAACUAGGGUGAUUGAUGUCAUCAGUAGCUAAGAACGCAUGGUAGAUUUUCCUAAGUUACCAAAACUCUGGAGAUCAAAACAAAUCCAUUAAUUUCCUGUUAUAUCAUCCUUUUAGUAAAUCCUGGUACACAAAUGAAAUUCCAGCUAGAGAUAAGCAAGGUGUCUGCAAGAGCAUAAUCAUUUAUCUUGAUAGCAGGCGUGAAACUCUGGUAAAAGAACAAAUAAACUUUUGAAGAAAUAGCUCUGAACUAGAGUGCAAAUGAAGUGCAAAGCAUCAGCCGUUUCACGUGGGCAUCGAGGUUAUAAAUGGUAUUUUCAAGAGCUUUCAUAGUGGACAAGGACAGGCGUUUAGCCUAGUUGACUCCUUAGAACAAAUGUCAUUAAAGCAGUGUGGUGAGAGUGACUGAUUCAAUCUUUAUU